Long non-coding RNA from Vespa mandarinia (Asian giant hornet), 199 nucleotides. The record is from RefSeq and is a predicted model, not a curated record. Lineage: Eukaryota; Metazoa; Arthropoda; Insecta; Hymenoptera; Vespidae.
AUGUUCCGGCAUUGUUAUCCGGAUACAAUAAUCGAGGACACGACUUUCACUUUUACUAUGGCAGUUCGAUCGUAAACUCAUCGUUACAAAUAUAAAACGUACGAAAUUAACAAGAAUACAUAUAAAUAUAUUUUCUACAAUAUUUUUGAGAAGAAUCUAAUAAAGAAUCUGAAGUUAUGAAGUUGAUAUUGUCUGAUGA